CCUACGGGCGGCAGCAGUGAGGAAUAUUGGUCAAUGGGCGGAAGCCUGAACCAGCCAAGUAGCGUGCAGGAUGACGGCCCUACGGGUUGUAAACUGCUUUUAUACGGGAAUAACGCGCCUUACGUGUAGGGCUUUGCAUGUACCGUAUGAAUAAGGACCGGCAAAUUCCGUGCCAGCAGCCGCGGUAAUACGGAAGGUCCGGGCGUUAUCCGGAUUUAUUGGGUUUAAAGGGUGCGUAGGCGGAACAUUAAGUCAGCGGUAAAAUCGAGGGGCUCAACCCCUUUAAGCCGUUGAAACUGGGGAUCUUGAGUGGGCGAGAAGUAUGCGGAAUGCGUGGUGUAGCGGUGAAAUGCAUAGAUAUCACGCAGAACUCCGAUGGCGAAGGCAGCAUACCGGCGCCCGACUGACGCUGAGGCACGAAAGCGUGGGGAUCGAACAGGAUUAGAUACCCUUGUAGUC
RNAcentral lists this ribosomal RNA (459 nucleotides) under uncultured bacterium. Its description in RNAcentral is "partial 16S ribosomal RNA". It matches the Rfam family "Bacterial small subunit ribosomal RNA", at positions 338 to 795 of the family's 1533-position model. The record is from RNAcentral.